This 495-nucleotide ribosomal RNA is filed under the name Triticum aestivum (bread wheat). RNAcentral's name for it is "partial small subunit ribosomal RNA". The record is from RNAcentral. Lineage: Eukaryota; Viridiplantae; Streptophyta; Magnoliopsida; Poales; Poaceae.
AUGAAGUGGCGCCAAGCUUCUGGCGUUCUCUAUGACAAGAGUGCCACAAAAGCUAAAGGCGGGUUCUAUAGGACGGCGAUUCGACCCGCAAUGUUGUUUGGUGUUGAGUGUUGCCCGACUAAAAGGUGGCGUGUUCAACGGUUAGGUGUGGCGGAGAUGGGCAUGUUGAGAUGGAUGUGUGGCCACACAAGGAAGGACCGGGUCCAGAAUGAUGACGUACGAGAUAGAGUUGGGGUAGCACCGAUUGAAGAGAAGCUUGUCCAACAUCGUCUGAGAUGGUUUGGCCAUAUUCAACACAGGCCUCCAGAAGCUCCAAUGCAUAGCAGACGGCUAAAGCGUGGUGAUAAUGUCAAGAGAGGUCGGGGUAGACCGAACUUGACAUGGGAGGAGUCCGUAAAGAGAGAUCUGAAGGACUGCAAUAUCACCAAAGAACUAGCCAUGGACAGGAGCGUGGAAGCUUGCUUGGUUGCGAGAUCUUGCGGGUUUCAGCUCUAG